AUACGGAGGGUGCAAGCGUUGUCCGGAUUUAGUGGGUUUAAAGGGUGCGUAGGUGGUUUUUUAAGUCAGUGGUGAAAGCCUACAGCUUAACUGUAGAGGUGCCAUUGAUACUGGGGAACUUGAGUAUGGACGAGGUAGGCGGAAUUUGUGGUGUAGCGGUGAAAUGCAUAGAUACCACAAGGAACACCGAUAGCGAAGGCAGCUUACUGGGCCAUAACUGACACUGAGGCACGAAAGCGUGGGGAGCGAACAGGAUUAGAAACCCUAGUAGUCC
This 274-nucleotide ribosomal RNA is filed under the name uncultured bacterium. RNAcentral's name for it is "partial 16S ribosomal RNA". It matches the Rfam family "Bacterial small subunit ribosomal RNA", at positions 523 to 796 of the family's 1533-position model. The record is from RNAcentral.